Dromaius novaehollandiae (emu) is the source of this 366-nucleotide long non-coding RNA. RefSeq lists it as uncharacterized. Lineage: Eukaryota; Metazoa; Chordata; Aves; Casuariiformes; Dromaiidae. The transcript is spliced from 2 exons. The record is from RefSeq and is a predicted model, not a curated record.
GGCUGUGGGAAACCCAGAUUCCCAUUCCUGCCUGAGAGGAGCAAACUCCACAUCUUCUUCAGGGGUGCCUUGAGUGGACAGAGAUGGUGUUUGGAGCUACACUGAGUAUGGGAGCACUGUAUCUGCUGAGCAAACUCUUAAAGCCAGAAUCAGACCAUACUUUUGGCAAGACGCCACUAGAGUGAGAGAAGCAACGAAACUGUUUAUAAUAGGUGUUCUAUCCAUCAGAAGAAUGUCGAUGGACAAAUUACUGUAACCUGCCUAAACCAGCUCAGCCCUCCUUCAAAUCAAAGCCCAAAUUGUAUUGGGAGUGUUUGUUUUGUCAUUUUUUAAAUAAAUGAAGAAAUCAAUGGUAUAUUCACAGCA